GACGAACGCUGGCGGCGUGCUUAACACAUGCAAGUCGAACGGAAAGGCCCUGCUUUUGUGGGGUGCUCGAGUGGCGAACGGGUGAGUAACACGUGAGUAACCUGCCCUUGACUUUGGGAUAACUUCAGGAAACUGGGGCUAAUACCGGAUAGGAGCUCCUGCUGCAUGGUGGGGGUUGGAAAGUUUCGGCGGUUGGGGAUGGACUCGCGGCUUAUCAGCUUGUUGGUGGGGUAGUGGCUUACCAAGGCUUUGACGGGUAGCCGGCCUGAGAGGGUGACCGGCCACAUUGGGACUGAGAUACGGCCCAGACUCCUACGGGAGGCAGCAGUGGGGAAUAUUGCACAAUGAGCGGAAGCCUGAUGCAGCAACGCCGCGUGCGGGAUGACGGCCUUCGGGUUGUAAACCGCUUUCGCCUGUGACGAAGCGUGAGUGACGAUAAUGGGUAAAGAAGCACCGGCUAACUACGUG
RNAcentral lists this ribosomal RNA (468 nucleotides) under uncultured bacterium. Its description in RNAcentral is "partial 16S ribosomal RNA". It matches the Rfam family "Bacterial small subunit ribosomal RNA", at positions 28 to 507 of the family's 1533-position model. The record is from RNAcentral.